RNA transcript from Trichoplusia ni (cabbage looper), 5255 nucleotides. It is a transcript of the gene named myosin heavy chain 95F, with no coding region annotated. The transcript has 26 exons. The record is from RefSeq and is a predicted model, not a curated record. NCBI's taxonomy places the organism in Eukaryota, Metazoa, Arthropoda, Insecta, Lepidoptera, Noctuidae.
UUUAGUUGUAUUUUACCGAUAGCAACUAUCGACUCCUUUGUACGUGUUGCUAGUCCCUAAUCCCUACCACAAAGUUGUGAACCAAUCAGCGUGAACCGUAACGUCACUCGUCACGUGGAGGGGACCGCCGGAGAGUGGUUUCCGAACGGAAAAGGUAGCGUAGGUAACUUUUUGUUUCGCAGUCUCGCGCUGUUAACAAAUUCUUGUGACGCGGCUAGUUUUAUUAAAAUAUAUGUUCGGCUUGUGAUUGUGGAGUGACUUGUGAAAUAUACAAUGGAUAUUAUUUAUUAAUUAUUUCAAGAGUGCAGUGUUGUAAUUAUAUCUUCGCAAAGUUUUGUAAACAAUGACGAUGGAUAAGCAACUGGUGUGGGUGCGGGACCCCAACGAGGGGUUCAUCCUCGCGCGCCUGCACGAGCUGAUGGGCGAGGAGGCCGACGUCUUCCCCAUCGACAACCGAUACCCCAAAAGAGUCUGCAGCUUCGAGGAUAUAUUCCCAGCCGGGGAUCCUGGAAAAGAUGUUGAGGAUAACUGCGAGCUGAUGUUCCUCAACGAGGCAACGCUACUGAACAACAUUCUAACUCGAUACAAGAAGAAUAAGAUUUACACAUACGUGGCGAACAUCCUGCUGGCUGUGAACCCUUACGAGGAUAUCCCUGACAUGUACUCGUCAAACACCAUCAAGAAGUAUCAGGGGAAGUCUUUGGGAGAACUACCACCUCAUGUGUUUGCAGUUGCCGACAAGGCCUUCCGUGACAUGAAGUCCUUGAAGCAGUCGCAGUCCAUCAUAGUAUCAGGAGAAUCCGGUGCGGGAAAGACUGAGUCCACGAAAUACAUCCUCAAGUACUUGUGUGACCUUUGGGCGAAGUCAGCCGGGCCGGUCGAACAGAAGAUUCUAGAUGCCAAUCCCAUCCUAGAAGCAUUCGGAAAUGCGAAAACAACUCGCAACAACAACAGUUCUCGUUUCGGCAAGUUCAUGGAGGUCCACUUCAACAACAAGUACCAGGUCGUGGGCGGCCAUAUAUCUCAUUACCUUCUAGAAAAGUCUAGAAUAUGCACGCAGAGUGCCGAGGAGAGGAACUACCAUGUAUUCUACCUGCUGUGCGCAGGCGCACCCCAAGAGUUACGCGAUGCUUUGAAUAUCACUAAACCCGAUGAUUAUUUGUAUCUGAAGAAUGGUUGCACACAAUACUUCACGACACCCGAAUCUGAAAAGAAACUCAGUGCUAACCGCAAGAGCAAGCUGCAAGAGACCAAGGGAGGUCUGCGCGAUCCCAUCUUGGAUGACGUUGAAGACUUCCAAAGGUUGCACCAGGCACUAUCCCGCGUAGGCCUGUCCGAGGAGGAGAAGUUCGCGGUGUACUCGGUGGUGGCGGGCGUGCUGCACCUGGGCAACGUGCAGUUCGAGGAGGACGCGGGCGCGCGCGGCGGCUGCCACAUCAGCGCCGCCGCCGAGCCCGCGCUGCGCGCCGCCGCCGCGCGCCUGGCGCUCGACCCCGACCCGCUGCGCCACGCGCUCGUGGCGCGCCUCAUGCAGAGCGCGCGCGGCGGACACAAGGGCACCGCCAUCAUGGUACCACUGAAGACAUACGAAGCGAACAACGCCCGUGACGCUCUGGCCAAAUCUAUCUACAGCCGCCUGUUCGACUACAUCGUACACCGCAUCAACGCCAGUAUCCCCUUCCAGGCCUCCGCCUACUACAUUGGCGUACUCGAUAUUGCUGGGUUUGAAUACUUCCAAAUGAACAGCUUCGAGCAGUUCUGCAUCAAUUACUGCAAUGAGAAGCUACAGCAGUUCUUCAACGAGCGUAUCCUCAAGAACGAGCAGGAGUUGUACAAGCGCGAGGGUCUUAACGUUCCAGAGAUCAGAUUCGUUGACAACCAGGAUUGUAUCGAUCUGAUUGAGAGCAAGCAUCACGGCAUCUUCCACUUGCUAGACGAAGAGUCGAAACUGCCCAAACCAGAGUUCGGAAACUUCACACAUUCCGUACACAAACACUUAGGGGCUAAUAACAACAGAUUACAACUGCCCCGCUCGUCUCGUCUUAAGGCGCACCGCACUCUGCGUGACGAUGAAGGUUUCCUUCUACGACACUUUGCAGGCGCCGUCUGUUAUAAUACGAACCAAUUCAUAGAGAAGAACAACGACGCUCUCCACGCGUCCCUCGAGUUCCUCGUACAGGAGUCCAGCAACGCGCUCGUGCAGCAACUCUUCCAGAACACCGACAACAACAACGCUAAAGGAAAACUCAACUUUAUUUCCGUGGGCGCUAAGUUCCAAUCUCAACUGUCGCAGCUGAUGGACAAGCUGAAGGAGAAUGGCACGAACUUCGUCCGCUGCAUCAAGCCCAACCCGCGCAUGGUGGGCGGCGCGGUGGAGGGCGCGCUGGUACUGACGCAGCUGCAGUGCAGCGGGACCACGGCCGUGCUCGAGCUCAUGGAACACGGCUACCCCUCGCGCGCGCCCUUCCACGACCUGCACGCCAUGUACCGCCGCUACCUGCCGCCCCGCCUGCAGGAGCUCUCGCCCAAGCUCUUCUGCGAGGCCAUGGUCCACAGUCUCGGUCUACACGACAAGGACUACAAGUUCGGUGUGACCCGUGUCUUCUUCCGCCCCGGCAAGUACUCGGAGUUCGACACUAUGAUGAAGUCCGAUCCCGAGAACUUGAAGUCCAUCGUCGACGCUGUACUGUCCUGGCUCGUGAAGUCCAGAUGGAGGAAGUCUAUAUUCGCUGUGCUGUCUAUUAUUAAAUUGAAAAACAAAAUCAUGUACCGUCGCCAAUGCCUGAUCCUCCUACAAAAGACGAUUCGCGGGCAUCUUGUCCGCCGCAAACACCGCCCGCGGUACCAGGGCAUCGCCAAGAUUAAGGCGUUACAACAUAACCUCAAAGACAUGGAGUCUGUGACGUCACAGCUCAAGAAAGACAAGGAUAGCGCGCAAAGGAAUAUCGAGAACUUGAGGAAUUCCAUCAGAAAUGCUUGUGUUGCUAUUAAGAGUAAUGUGAACAUAACACGUGCUGAAAUCGAUCAACUGUCAGCCAAGUUGACCAAAGACAUUGAGACCCAGAUGAGUGCGCUACAAAAAGCUAUGGUUGACCAGAAGAAUAGAGAGGAACAAGAGAGGCUGCGUAAGAUUGAAGCGGAAAUGCGCGCGCUGGAAGAGGCCAAACUCCGGGAGAUGGAGAGACUGCGCCAAGAGGAAGAACACCGCAGGCUUAAAGCAGAAAUGGAAGCUCGUCGCAAAGCGGAGGAGCAAGAACGGCUAAGACUUGAGGAGCAGGACCGCCUUGCCGCACUCAAACUGCAGAAACAGAUGGAGGAAGCUGCGAAGGCCGACCAGGAGAACAGAGAACGGCUAGAACAAGAGAGAAGGGACCACGAGAUGGCAGUGCGACUGGCUAAGGAAACCAACGGCCACGUCGAAGGCUCACCGCCACAGUUGCGCAGUUUCCCUACCAUGGAGUCAGUGAAUGGAGAGAAUAAAUUGAACAGGUCAGAACGUGUACGGAUGCAGCAAGCUAUGCAGGGCAAGCAAAAAUACGAUCUAUCUAAAUGGAAGUAUUCGGAACUUCGUGAUACUAUCAAUACGUCGUGUGAUAUUGAACUUUUGGAGGCUUGCCGCCAUGAGUUCCACCGGCGCCUGAAGGUGUACCACGCGUGGAAGGCAAAGAACGCUCGCAAGACAACCAUGGCCGACCAGGAGAGGGCGCCACAGUCGAUCAUGGAUGCCGGUAUGCUGUUUAACUCAACCAAGACCCCCCGGCUGCCGCAGAAGGGUGAGAUCCUGGGCGCCCGCCACCGCUACUUCCGCAUCCCGUUUGUCCGCGCCGGCGCGGGCGCGGCCAGCGAGCCCGAGCGGCGCGGCUGGUGGUACGCGCACUUCGACGGACAGUACGUGGCCAGGCAGAUGGAACUGCAUCCGGACAAGACGCCCGUACUGCUGCAGGCUGGCGUGGACGACAUGCAGAUGUGCGAGCUGAGCCUGGAGGAGACGGGGCUGACCCGCAAGCGCGGCGCCGAGAUCCUGGAGCACGAGUUCGAGCGCGAGUGGGCCCGACACGCGCCCGCCGCCGACAAGCGCGCGCCGCGGUAGACACGUGCGUACACACACACAACAUGCUUACAUCUACACCGUGGUCGAGUGGCAUAUCACAUUCCAUUCAAGAACUUAGAAAAACUAGAUAAGUCGUCGCAAAACGCAAAAUCGGAAAUAUUCCAUACACAUUGGAAUUAGAGUUUUAAUUAUACACACAUAAGAUGGAUUUUUGGAUGAAAUAAUAAUUAAGUGCUUUUAACGUGCCUCUACAGGUUCCUAGAUUUAUAUUAGUGCAAUAUAAUUAAAGGUCACUCAGUAAUGGUCAGAUAGCAAUAAUGUUAACAGCAAACUCAGAGUAAGUAAUAAAUUUUCAAAGAAAUAAAUAUUUUACCUGUAUAAGAUGAAGUCUAAAGUUCCCGUGCCUUAAAAAUGUAUUUAAAAGUUCCUGGCUUUAUAUCGACUGUAUUGUUACAUCACUAUGCAAUAGAACGUCUGAGUUUAAAAUCAGAAUUUGAGAAACAGUUGUUUAUGUACUUCGAAAUUGUAUAGCUAAUCGAUUUAUCGGUGCUACUUACAGCACUCUUUUAGUAUGAAAUAGUCGACUUAAUCGACUAAUAUACUAAAAUACUUUCCGAUUAUAUUUCCGUUAUAAUUAUUUAGUGUAAUGCCUCGUCAUCGCUGAUGAUGAUAACAACACAUAACAAAAUAAGUGAAUAAGAAUAAGUGACAUAAUAUUUUUGAUUUAUUUUAUACAACUUCGGUUUAUUAGUAGACUAAAUUCGAUUAAAUAUGUAUCAGUAAUUUAAAAAUACCAAUUGAAAUUUACUACGAAAAUAUUAAUAUAUAAAAAUAAUAAUUUAUAAUUUUGUUAGUAAGCUGUGAAUGUGAUUCGUAAUUCAGUUUACAACUUUAGGUCAGUAUAUUAAAAUGAAAAAUAAAAUAUAUUUAUUUGAACAUUCCUGUCUUGAGACUGGUGAAUGGUAGCUUUUGUAUUAUUUGAAUAGCAUUAUAAUUUACUAUAAGUGUUUUCUGAACAGUAUUUAAGCAAACAUUCCUGUAUUUUUACAUUUAUCACAGUUAAUGUUCAAGAUAUUUUUAUAUGUACAAGUUUUUUAAAGUACAAGAUAGUAAACAGAUCGUGCCUUAUUGUGUUAACCCGUUGUGCAUGACCACUCCAUUAUUGUAUAUGCUUUACCAAAUAAAACAUGAUGAGAGUUACAUA